AAACUUUUAACAACGGAUCUCUUCGGUUUCUUGGCAUCGAUGAAGAACGCAGCGAAAUCGCGAUAAGUAAUCGUGAAUUCGCAGAAUUUCAGUGAAUCAUCGAAUCUUUUGAACGCACAUUCGCGCCCCCUGGUAUUUCCGGGGGGCAUUGCCUGUUUCGAGCGUCAUUU
This 170-nucleotide ribosomal RNA is filed under the name Cladosporium sp. Its description in RNAcentral is "5.8S ribosomal RNA". It matches the Rfam family "5.8S ribosomal RNA". From Rfam's summary of the family: 5.8S ribosomal RNA (5.8S rRNA) is a component of the large subunit of the eukaryotic ribosome. It is transcribed by RNA polymerase I as part of the 45S precursor that also contains 18S and 28S rRNA. Lineage: Eukaryota; Fungi; Ascomycota; Dothideomycetes; Cladosporiales; Cladosporiaceae. The record is from RNAcentral.